Long non-coding RNA from Anguilla anguilla (European eel), 1271 nucleotides. RefSeq lists it as uncharacterized. The record is from RefSeq and is a predicted model, not a curated record. NCBI's taxonomy places the organism in Eukaryota, Metazoa, Chordata, Actinopteri, Anguilliformes, Anguillidae. The transcript is spliced from 4 exons.
GUGAUGGAUUUCGUUUUUUACGCCAUUUUCUCAUCCUUGGAAUUAUUUGUCGGUUUGUUUCAGCGCUGCUAUACGCCUGACAGAGGCACUAGGACUGGUAUCCUGACAGAAAGCAGACCCCUGAUGGAAGCCUUCUCUCGUAGCGUACGGACACGGUACGCUCCCAUCAUGGUGGACAGGUGGACGAAUGGUCCCUGGGGAGGUGGUCAGAAAGAGAGAAGCAGCUUAACAGGUGAGAACAGGAAACACCUGGCUGAAAGUUUUCAUCUAGGUUUAUCUUCAAGAAAACGACUGCUGCUGCAUUAUUGGUUCAUCUGGUCUCCGCUGGUCUACUGGCCAACUCACCUGGACCUCAUGUGCUGUCAGUCAUUUACAGUCCUUAAGAUCUGCCUGCACGGGCCACAGAAAUAUCAUAAAGAGGCUGAGCAUGUUCCCUCUUCGAAAGCACACAAUGGAAUGAAAGCCCACUGAAGCAUUCAUCCACGGUGAGAACACCAUUACGAGAAUCAAUGCGUUCAUUGUUUGGGUGCGUGAGUGAGAGGGGAAUGAUGGGUUAUCGUAUUUUGAAAUGAAUUUCCUUUUUCGAAAAAAAAAAAUUCAAAAUGGAACUUUCAUGUGGAACUGUCACGAACAAUGGCGUGCCCUAUCUAUGGCAGCCCAAAAUGUCUUUCUUACAGACUCAGUCGCCUCUGAGCUUGUUCCCAUCUACAAAAGAAAAAGCACUGGCAGUACGGUACUCUGUCGCUAAUGCUUCUGUGUAAAUUGGGGGUAGCGCCAAAGCCAGACAUUUGGACGAUAAAGGUGGGGCAGGUUACGUAAUUCAGACCCACUGACAGACACUGUCCGGUUACCGGACGUAAGCGUUUGUGUUUGUGUAUGCGUGCGUGUGUGGGUAGGGCUGGGGUGUGCGGAUAUUUUUAGCCCUAUGGGGCAACUGUGACUAACGUGUUGAAAAUGUGCGGAGGCACACGCUUUCAUACCCGCAAUUUCAAUCUUAUUCCCAGCCACGUGCGGGUCAGACCUUCGCUCUCACAGCCAGCCCUGAGCCCGGGCUAAGCUGUUGCAGUCUGUGACCUCCCCAAAGGUCACCCAAUGUCACCUAGGAAGUGCUGAGGGCCGUGGGCUGGCUGGCCUGUUUACUUUUUAACUAAUAUUUACUCACUCAGCACCAGGGGGCACAGUAAUUGCUGGGAACUAUAAACACACUCACGUGCAUUCUCUCUCCCUCUCUUGCCCUCCCUCUCUCUUGCUCUCUUAUUCUCCUGCUCUCU